Molecule: ribosomal RNA, 797 nt
Filed under: Escherichia coli
Lineage: Bacteria; Pseudomonadati; Pseudomonadota; Gammaproteobacteria; Enterobacterales; Enterobacteriaceae
Description: partial 23S ribosomal RNA
Rfam family: Bacterial large subunit ribosomal RNA
Source: RNAcentral
GGGACACGUGGUAUCCUGUCUGAAUAUGGGGGGACCAUCCUCCAAGGCUAAAUACUCCUGACUGACCGAUAGUGAACCAGUACCGUGAGGGAAAGGCGAAAAGAACCCCGGCGAGGGGAGUGAAAAAGAACCUGAAACCGUGUACGUACAAGCAGUGGGAGCCUCUUUAUGGGGUGACUGCGUACCUUUUGUAUAAUGGGUCAGCGACUUAUAUUCUGUAGCAAGGUUAACCGAAUAGGGGAGCCGAAGGGAAACCGAGUCUUAACUGGGCGUUAAGUUGCAGGGUAUAGACCCGAAACCCGGUGAUCUAGCCAUGGGCAGGUUGAAGGUUGGGUAACACUAACUGGAGGACCGAACCGACUAAUGUUGAAAAAUUAGCGGAUGACUUGUGGCUGGGGGUGAAAGGCCAAUCAAACCGGGAGAUAGCUGGUUCUCCCCGAAAGCUAUUUAGGUAGCGCCUCGUGAAUUCAUCUUCGGGGGUAGAGCACUGUUUCGGCAAGGGGGUCAUCCCGACUUACCAACCCGAUGCAAACUGCGAAUACCGGAGAAUGUUAUCACGGGAGACACACGGCGGGUGCUAACGUCCGUCGUGAAGAGGGAAACAACCCAGACCGCCAGCUAAGGUCCCAAAGUCAUGGUUAAGUGGGAAACGAUGUGGGAAGGCCCAGACAGCCAGGAUGUUGGCUUAGAAGCAGCCAUCAUUUAAAGAAAGCGUAAUAGCUCACUGGUCGAGUCGGCCUGCGCGGAAGAUGUAACGGGGCUAAACCAUGCACCGAAGCUGCGGCAGCGACACUAAG